Molecule: ribosomal RNA, 509 nt
Filed under: uncultured Actinomycetes bacterium
Lineage: Bacteria; Bacillati; Actinomycetota; Actinomycetes
Description: bacterial SSU rRNA
Rfam family: Bacterial small subunit ribosomal RNA
Source: RNAcentral
GGGCGAAAGCCUGACGCAGCCACGCCGCGUGAGUGAUGAAGGCCUUCGGGUUGUAAAGCUCUGUCGGAGGGGACGAAUACUGACGGUACCCUCAAAGAAAGCACCGGCUAACUCCGUGCCAGCAGCCGCGGUAAUACGGAGGGUGCGAGCGUUGCUCGGAAUUAUUGGGCGUAAAGCGUACGCAGGCGGCUUCAUAAGUCGGGUGUGAAAGCCCAGGGCUCAACCCUGGAAUGGCGCCCGAGACUGUGGGGCUUGAAUGCGGGAGAGGGAAGCGGAAUUCCUGGUGUAGCGGUGAAAUGCGCAGAUAUCAGGAGGAACACCGGUGGCGAAGGCGGGUCUCUGGGCAGUAACUGACGCCGAGGAGCGAAAGCGUGGGUAGCGAACAGGAUUAGAUACCCUGGUAGUCCACGCCGUAAACGGUGGGCGCUAGGUGUGGGUUUCCUUCCACGGGAUCCGUGCCGUAGCUAACGCAUUAAGCGCCCCGCCUGGGGAGUACGGCCGCAAGGCUA